Molecule: ribosomal RNA, 468 nt
Filed under: uncultured bacterium
Lineage: Bacteria
Description: partial 16S ribosomal RNA
Rfam family: Bacterial small subunit ribosomal RNA
Source: RNAcentral
GACGAACGCUGGCGGCGUGCUUAACACAUGCGAGUCGAACGGAAAGGCCCUGCUUUUGUGGGGUGCUCGAGUGGCGAACGGGUGAGUAACACGUGAGUAACCUGCCCUUGACUUUGGGAUAACUUCAGGAAACUGGGGCUAAUACCGGAUAGGAGCUCCUGCUGCAUGGUGGGGGUUGGAAAGUUUCGGCGGUUGGGGAUGGACUCGCGGCUUAUCAGCUUGUUGGUGGGGGAGUGGCUUACCAAGGCUUUGACGGGUAGCCGGCCUGAGAGGGUGACCGGCCACAUUGGGACUGAGGUACGGCCCAGACUCCUACGGGAGGCAGCAGUGGGGAAUAUUGCACAAUGGGCGGAAGCCUGAUGCAGCAACGCCGCGUGCGGGAUGACGGCCUUCGGGUUGUAAACCGCUUUCGCCUGUGACGAAGCGUGAGUGACGGUAAUGGGUAAAGAAGCACCGGCUAACUACGUG